UGAUGCUUAGUGCAGUUGUCUAGCACGUCAGCUCACACGGCUAGGAGGCCUGGGUUUGACUCCUAGAGCAGCCA
Molecule: non-coding RNA, 74 nt
Organism: Mycena amicta
Lineage: Eukaryota; Fungi; Basidiomycota; Agaricomycetes; Agaricales; Mycenaceae
Source: the annotation of a GenBank genome assembly